This 2301-nucleotide long non-coding RNA is filed under the name Sorghum bicolor (sorghum). RNAcentral's name for it is "long non-coding RNA (SBIC_LNC007486)". The record is from RNAcentral. Lineage: Eukaryota; Viridiplantae; Streptophyta; Magnoliopsida; Poales; Poaceae.
CCCCAUGCAUAGAAUAACCUCUGAACCCCAAAAAGUAUACAUAUCAUUGCAAAAUUGUCUGUUGUGCAAUAUAGACAACCAAAUCUGCUUUGGUGCACGCUUCCACGCAUACACUACUCCCCCCUCCAAGCCUCACCCUUGGUGCCCAUAGCCUACUGACUGACCCUAGUGAUGAGUCAUUAUUCUCUUCGAGUAGUCUAAUGACCGUACAACACAACCAUCAUAAACGUUGUUUUUGCCCCCAUGUACAUCCAAUGGUUGAUACAUAUGGAGACAUGUGCCCUUAGGGACAAUUUUUCAGCAUCUCCAGGACAAAAAAAAAUACUGUAACAUAGCACCAAUGAGACCGAACAUGAUGGCCACAAUGUGUCUUGAGGUGAUAUUUCACUUUCAAUUUUAAUAAUAACAUAAGUGGUAAUUUUGAUAUAAAUUUAAAAUGUCACUUACAUUUGCAUAAAGAUUAUCCACACAUGCUAUUAUGAAGCGUAUAAAAAUUGCAUUAGAAAAGUGAAAUAUCACCUCAGACAUUUUAAGUUUAUAUAUAGUUAUCAUAUAUCAUGCUAUUUUAUGUUAUUUCUAGUAGAGGUGGACAUCUUUUUCUUUUUUUGAGUUUAUACAGUUUGUCUUUUUUUUUCUAGCACGUAUGGAAAUUGCUUUAGAAGGCUCCAAUAAGUAAUCUAUACCUAAUAAUAAAUUGUGAAAAAUUCAGUCCACCAUAUCUUUAUAUGUUCACUAGGCCUUUCAUCGAUGUCCGAGGUGAUAUUUCACUUUCAAUUUUAAUAAUAACAUAAGUGGUAAUUUUGAUAUAAAUUUAAAAUGUCACUUACAUUUGCAUAAAGAUUAUCCACACAUGCUAUUAUGAAGCGUAUAAAAAUUGCAUUAGAAAAGUGAAAUAUCACCUCAGACAUUUUAAGUUUAUAUAUAGUUAUCAUAUAUCAUGCUAUUUUAUGUUAUUUCUAGUAGAGGUGGACAUCUUUUUCUUUUUUUGAGUUUAUACAGUUUGUCUUUUUUUUUUCUAGCACGUAUGGAAAUUGCUUUAGAAGGCUCCAAUAAGUAAUCUAUACCUAAUAAUAAAUUGUGAAAAAUUCAGUCCACCAUAUCUUUAUAUGUUCACUAGGCCUUUCAUCGGUGUCCGUAUAAAUAUAUGACUAUAUAGGACUAUGUUCAUCUUGUUCGGAUCUGGUUUCCUAUUAUUUUUUAACUUAUUUUUUGUUUAUGGUACAAGAACUCCUGGUCCAAUAAGGAUAGGGGGGAAAAGGAAAGUUAUGUGCUAAAUCUAACUCGGAAGCCUAACACGAGUUUAAAUCAGUUUUAAAACGAAACAAGCGAAUAGCUAGACUCAACCAAAAUCCAAAACAGAGCUCGACCAAAAUUAUCUUUAUUCUUAUAAGAAAAUAUAUAGUUACUUCAAAGAAAAAAAAAUUCACGGACACUAGGGGGGAGAAGGGAGCGACUCUUUUAGACCCAAGGUACGCAACAUCUAUGAGCCGGAGAGAAAAAAUAAAGUAAAGAAGAAAAUAAAAAUAAAGAUCCAAUCCAAACUCAAGUAAUCAUGCUGAACUCGGACAGAACACUGGUGAUUGGCAAAAAUAAAUAAAUAAAAUAAAGACGAAAACAAAAAAGAUCCAAUCCAAACUCAGGCAAUCAUGGUGAACUCGGACAGAACACUGGUGAUUGGCCGCAUGAAAAAAAUUGGGUGCCAAAAAUUUUGGCUUUUUAGUAUUAGGAGGAAUAGAUUACGAAUCUAGAGUUCAGUUCCUGAUCCAAUACCUUCCUGAUCCAAUACGUUUUGGAAUCGAACUCUAUAUCAUACUAGACAAAACUAUUCUAACUUGUCAGAGUAUGAGUAUGGGCUAUAUAUACAAGUCUAGAUAUAAUAAACUCUUCAUUAUCCAGUAGCUAAAGAGAGACGGACCAAAAAACUGGAUAGACGAAAAAAAAGAACUUGAAAUUUUGCUUCUUUAUUAUUAGGUAUAGAUAGAAGAAGAAGAAGAAAAAGGAACUACAGAUUGGAACUUUUAUUUUUCUUUUGCCUCCGAUUGACAUCUAACUAAAUAAAGAAAGUGGGAGCAAAAUAAGAACAUAAUUCUUAUCCUUUUCUAUUUAACUAUUAAGAGUUCUUUUUAGAAUACUUAGGAUGUGAGGAAUCUAUUUAUAUUCUUACUCCUACUCCAUAUUAGUUUAGAUGCAAGUUAUUCUAAGUCAUACGAGCACGGGUUAUAUAUAUAAGUCUAGAUAAAAGAAACUCUCUAUCGUUCGGUAGCUAGAGGAAGACAGACAAAAAUGGAUGGACAAAAAAAA